CCGCCUCUGGGAGUAAGCAGUCCCUUGCACCUGAUAUCUCUUCUUCACUUUUUCUGCUAAAACCUUCUAUUUUUAGUUGAUCAUUAAUGGAUGGAAUAUUU
Triticum urartu is the source of this 101-nucleotide non-coding RNA. NCBI's taxonomy places the organism in Eukaryota, Viridiplantae, Streptophyta, Magnoliopsida, Poales, Poaceae. The record is from Rfam.